CACAGCAUGGUUUGAUGAGGAGUGCACAGGUCUGCACCCAGGAUCCAAACCUGUGCACCCCAGGCUGCUGAAGCAGAGCAGGUGAACCUAACCACUACGCCACCAGCUCCUCCUAGGCACGAAGACAGUUUUCCACCCAAGGGCCCAUGGCCAAGCUCCAGCAACCCAGCUCAGAUGUGAAAUCCUAGGCUUGGCAGCUUGCAGCUGGCACCUGGCAGCCAGACAUGCAAACAUUUGGCCAUGCCCCUGUGUCUGGCCCGGCCCUGCCUGGAGAAGAGGCACAAAGGCUGGGCCAGUGGCCAGCCAGGCCAGAAGUGGGCCCCAGAUUCAGGAUCUUUGCCAGACAGAAGAGAAGAGGACUACAGAUUAC
Molecule: long non-coding RNA, 370 nt
Filed under: Equus caballus (horse)
Lineage: Eukaryota; Metazoa; Chordata; Mammalia; Perissodactyla; Equidae
Description: lncRNA (ENSECAG00000045281.1)
Source: RNAcentral